RNAcentral lists this ribosomal RNA (467 nucleotides) under uncultured bacterium. RNAcentral's name for it is "partial 16S ribosomal RNA". It matches the Rfam family "Bacterial small subunit ribosomal RNA", at positions 29 to 507 of the family's 1533-position model. The record is from RNAcentral.
ACGAACGCUGGCGGCGUGCUUAACACCUGCAAGUCGAACGGAAAGGCCCUGCUUUUGUGGGGUGCUCGGGUGGCGAACGGGUGAGUAACACGUGAGUAACCUGCCCUUGACUUUGGGAUAACUUCAGGAAACUAGGGCUAAUACCGGAUAGGAGCUCCUGCUGCAUGGUGGGGGUUGGAAAGUUUCGGCGGUUGGGGAUGGACUCGCGGCUUAUCAGCUUGUUGGUGGGGUAGUGGCUUACCAAGGCUUUGACGGGUAGCCGGCCUGAGAGGGUGACCGGCCACAUUGGGACUGAGAUACGGCCCAGACUCCUACGGGAGGCAGCAGUGGGGAAUAUUGCACAAUGGGCGGAAGCCUGAUGCAGCAACGCCGCGUGCGGGAUGACGGCCUUCGGGUUGUAAACCGCUUUCGCCUGUGACGAAGCGUGAGUGACGGUAAUGGGUAAAGAAGCACCGGCUAACUACGUG